UGGAUGAUGUGGUUAAUUCGAUGCAACGCGAAAACUUACCACCUUGACAUGGCAGGAAUCCCGAGGAGAUUUGGGAGUGCUCGAAAGAGAACCUGCACACAGGUGCUGCAUGGCUGUCGUCAGCUCGUGUCGUGAGAUGUUGGGUUAAGUCCCGCAACGAGCGCAACCCUUGCCAUUAGUUGCUACGAAAGGGCACUCUAAUGGGACUGCCGGUGACAAACCGGAGGAAGGUGGGGAUGACGUCAAGUCCUCAUGGCCCUUACAUCCCGGGCUACACACGUGCUACAAUGGCAGGUACAGAGGGCUGCGAAGCCGCGAGGUGGAGCGAAUCCCAGAAAACCUGUCUCAGUCCGGAUUGAAGUCUGCAACUCGACUUCAUGAAGGCGGAAUCGCUAGUAACCGCGAAUCAGCAGGUCGCGGUGAAUACGUUCCCGGGCCUU
RNAcentral lists this ribosomal RNA (440 nucleotides) under uncultured Allobrachymonas sp. RNAcentral's name for it is "bacterial SSU rRNA". It matches the Rfam family "Bacterial small subunit ribosomal RNA", at positions 933 to 1382 of the family's 1533-position model. The record is from RNAcentral. Lineage: Bacteria; Pseudomonadati; Pseudomonadota; Betaproteobacteria; Burkholderiales; Comamonadaceae.